This 73-nucleotide transfer RNA is filed under the name Operophtera brumata (winter moth). It matches the Rfam family "tRNA". From Rfam's summary of the family: Transfer RNA (tRNA) molecules are approximately 80 nucleotides in length. Their secondary structure includes four short double-helical elements and three loops (D, anti-codon, and T loops). The record is from Rfam by way of RNAcentral. Lineage: Eukaryota; Metazoa; Arthropoda; Insecta; Lepidoptera; Geometridae.
CGUUUUAUGGCCAAACUGGUCUAGGUAUCACCGAUUAGAUGAGAAGAUGUGGAUUCGAAUCCCGCUGGAACGG